Saimiri boliviensis boliviensis (Bolivian squirrel monkey) is the source of this 1293-nucleotide non-coding RNA. The record is from RefSeq and is a predicted model, not a curated record. NCBI's taxonomy places the organism in Eukaryota, Metazoa, Chordata, Mammalia, Primates, Cebidae.
AUGAGCUUCACCACUCACUCUACCUUCUCCACCAACUACCUAUCACUAGGCUCCAUCCAGUUACCCAGCUACGGCACCCAGCUGGUCAGCAGCACAGCCAGCGUCUAUGCAGGUGCCAGGGGCUCUGGUUCCUGCACCUCCAUGUCUUGUUCUACUACCUUCCGGGGCAGCAUGGGGGCCAGGGGCCUGGCCUCAGGGAUGGCCAGGUGUCUGGCAGGAAUGGGAGGCAUCCAGAAUGAGAAGGAGAUCAUGCAAAGCCUGAACAACCACUUGGCCUCCUACAUGGACAGAGUAAGGAGCCUGGAGACCAAGAACCAGAAGCUGGAGAGCAAAAUCCAGGAGCACCUGGAGAAGAAGGGACCCCAGAUCAGAGGCUGGAGCCGUUACUUCAAGACCAUCGAGGACCUGAGGACUCAGAUCUUCUCAAAUACUGUGGACAAUGCCCACAUCGUUGUGCAGAUUGACAAUGCCCAUCUUGCUGCUGAUGACUUCAGAGUUAAGUACGAGACAGAGCUGGCCAUGCGCUAGUCUGUGGAGAGCGACAUUCAUGGGCUUCACAAGGUCAUUAAUGACAUCAGUGUCACUUGGCUGCAGCUGGAGACAGAGAUGGAGGCUCUCAAGGAGGAACUGCUCUUCAUGAAGAAGAACCAUGAAGAGGAAAUAAAAGGCCUACAAGCCCAGAUUGCUAGCUCUGGGUUGACCCUGGAGGUAGAUGCCCCCAAAUCUCAGGACUUCAACAGGAUGAUGGUCGACAUCUGGGCCCAAUAUGAUGAGCUGGCUCAGAAGAACCGAGAGGAGCUGGACAAGUACUGGUCUCAGCAGAUUGAGGAGAGCACCACAGUGGUCACCAUGCAGUCCACCGAGGUUGGAGCUGCUGAGAUGACGCUCACAGAGCUGAGACGUACAGUCCAGUCCUUGGAGAUCAACCUGGACUCCAUGAGAAAUAUGAAGACCAGCCUGGAGAACAGCCUGAGGGAGGUGGAGACCCACUAUGCCCUGCAGAUGGAGCAGCUCAAUAGGAUCCUGCUGCACCUGGAAUCAGAGCUGGCACAGACCCGGGCAGAGGGGCAGCACCAGGCCCAGGAGUACAAGGCCCUACUAAACAUCAAGGUCAAACUGGAGGCUGAGAUUGCCACCUACUGCUGCCUGCUGGAAGAUGGCAAGGACUUCAAUCUUGCUGAUGCCCUGAACAGCAGCAACUCCAUGUAAACCAUCCAAAAGACCACCACCCACCAGAGAGUGAACAGCAAAGUGGUGUCUGAGACCAACGACACCAAAGUUCUGAGACAUUAA